Molecule: long non-coding RNA, 1666 nt
Organism: Lathyrus oleraceus (garden pea)
Lineage: Eukaryota; Viridiplantae; Streptophyta; Magnoliopsida; Fabales; Fabaceae
Exons: 3
Source: RefSeq, a predicted model, not a curated record
CACCCUUUUCUAUUUAUGUUUGCAAAUUAGGGUUUUCUGUUUGGUAUACCGAGCUCCAAAAGAGGAACUUUCUGGAAGUGCUUUUUUGCGCUCAGGAUUGGAUCGCCCUGUUCGAUGCUACAACCCGGAAACGGUAAUUUUACAUACGCCCUUUUCGUCCUAAAUUUGUCUCAAUACCAAUUUGGGAUAUUUUCUGGAAUUUAACUGCCUUGCUGAAUGGUUAUCCUUUUUACUGCAGUGAAUUUCUUGUAACAGGGGAAAUGCAACGACUGCUCUCUAUAUAAACCAUCUGUUUUGCAGGGCUAACCAUAACUUUUUUGGUUGAAAUUACAGUGUAACAAGUAGAUGUAAUCUCUGCAUUGCUAGGUGGAACCUGAGUAACCUUGGGUGGGGAUAUAUUUGCAUCGCUAUGACUGGAAUUUGCCCUUGGAGGAGUCUUGUGAAUUGGUAGGGAUAGACUUCUGAGGCUGAUUAAAUAAGCAUUUCAACACUAGAGCCUUGAACCACUUGAUACAAAAGUUUGCAGCAGAUGAUUGAGUUGCAGAAGAAGGAUGAUAAGCUACUGCUAACAUACUGUCAAGAUUGGAACUGAAGGUUUGGUUCCACUUCAUCGACUGAAAUACGACUGGCUUCUAUCCGAUGCUGCACUUCUAAAGCCUUUUACUGAAGAACUAUGUAUGAAAGCUUGUAUGGAAGAUUGCUUGUGUUAUGUGGCUAUUUUCAGGUUGGGUAAUAGUUGCUGGAAGAAGAAGUUAACACUCUCAAAUGGGAGAGUUGAUACCACACUUGAAGGUGCCAAGGCCUUCUUGAAACGCCUCUAUUUUUCAGUACAAGAAGAAGCUUAGAAGUGUCAUCAAAAGUGACACUUAUGUUGAAACCAAUUUACGUUGCUUCACUUUCGAAGAGCUUGAAGAAGCUACUAAUGGAUUUGACAAAGAGCUAGGAAAGGGAGCUUUUGGUAUUGUUUAUGAAGGAGUCGUCAACAACAACACAUGUUCCGAAACUCGUGUGGCUGUGAAAAAGUUGAACAAUUUUUGUUGGAUCAAGCCCAUCGAGAAUUCAGGAAUGAACUGAAUGUCAUUGGUCUCACUCAUCACAAGAACUUGGUUCGUUUACUUGGAUUUUGUGAGGGUGGAUCUGGAAGAUUGCUUGUUUAUGAGUACAUGAGCAAUGGCACUUUGGCAAGCUUACUUUUCAAUGAUGAAGAGUGCAUUACUAGGAUCAUCCAUUGUGACAUAAAGCCUCAGAACAUACUUCUUGAUGAUUACUUCAAUGCGAGAAUUUCUGACUUUGGACUAACCAAGUUGAUGAACAUGAAUCAAAGCAAAACCAACACUGGCAUUAGGGGAACAAAAGGGUAUGUCGCACUUGAAUGGUUUAAGAACAUGCCUAAUCACAGCUCAAGUGGAUGUGUAUAGUUAUGGUGUAGUGUUACUUGAGAUAAUUUCAUGUAGAAGAUGUGUUCAAGAAAUGGAUGAUGAAGAUGAAGAGAAAGCUAUACUGACAGAUUGGGCUUAUGAUUGUUACAAAGAUGGUGCUGUAAGUGCAUUGGUUGUCAAGUCAUCCAGAAUGCCAUAGAUGUUGUUGAUCUGAAGAUGCAAUCGACCUUAUUGUCUCGACUUUUUUUUUUGAUCAAGUUGUGACAUUAUCAACCCAUCCAUAUGGU